This 68-nucleotide ribosomal RNA is filed under the name Clostridium collagenovorans DSM 3089. RNAcentral's name for it is "16S rRNA. Bacterial SSU". Lineage: Bacteria; Bacillati; Bacillota; Clostridia; Eubacteriales; Clostridiaceae. The record is from RNAcentral.
CUGGCUCAGGACGAACGCUGGCGGCGUGCUUAACACAUGCAAGUCGAGCGAUGAAGUUCCUUCGGGAA